AGUAACAAAAAAGAGAUAAAUAUUAUACCACGAAAGAAAGUGAGCUAAAUAUAUAUAGUUGCAUUGCAUACGUAGCAUAGUAUGUAUAAAAUAUGUAUUUAGGAGUGAUAGGCUUUUCAAGCGUUCUUAUAACUUGUUCCAUAUGAAAAGUAUUAAGUACCUGAACAGAUUUAAAAAGUUAAGCUUUUAAAUAAUUAUUAAGAACAUUAUUUCCCUGUAGUGUAGUAUAGUAACUGUCUACGUAGGAACUUAACAUAAAGUAUGGUAGUUUAUAUUUUAUAGUAUGGCAAUAACAAUUUCGUUACUAUUUGAUAAUGUUAUUAUUAGUAAUAUUAAUAUAUAUGCUAAAGGAACUCGGCAAAUAACCGCUCAACUGUUUAUCAAAAACAUAGCUGUAUGGAUUAAUAUAUAGUUAUUUCUGCUCAAUGAUUUUAAAUAGCCGCAGUACUCUGACUGUGCAAAGGUAGCAUAAUCAGUUGGCUUUUAAUUGGAGUCUGGCAUGAAUGAAAAUAUGGGUAGUAACUGUCUUAGCAUAUUAUUUGAACUUAUUAAACAAGUGCAAAUGCUUGUAUUUACACAAUAGACGAGAAGACCCUAGAAACUUGAAUUGAUUUUUGUUGGGGCGACAGAAUUACAUUUAACUAAUUUUUAUUACAUGACGCAAGGUUGAAAGAAUAAGUUACUCUAGGGAUAACAGCAUAAUUUUAGUAGUUUGUGACCUCGAUGUUGGACUAGGUAUUAUACCCUUUAGACAAGGGUAUACCAUGCUCUGUUCGAGCAAGAUUACCUACAUGAUCUGAGUUCAGACCGG
Molecule: ribosomal RNA, 811 nt
Filed under: Helix pomatia (Roman snail)
Lineage: Eukaryota; Metazoa; Mollusca; Gastropoda; Stylommatophora; Helicidae
Description: partial large subunit ribosomal RNA
Rfam family: Archaeal large subunit ribosomal RNA (bases 371-514)
Source: RNAcentral